ACGCUGCGACGGCCUAACACAUGCAAGUCGAGGGGUAACAUGAGAGCUUGCUCUUGAUGACGACCGGCGCACGGGUGAGUAACGCGUAUGCAACCUGCCUAUAACCGUGGGAUAGCACUUCGAAAGGAGUAUUAAUACCACAUAACACUGUUUAAUUGCCUGAUUAGACAUUUAAAUUUCCGGAGGUUAUAGAUGGGCAUGCGUGACAUUAGCCAGUUGGCGGGGUAACGGCCCACCAAAGCAACGAUGUCUAGGGGUUCUGAGAGGAAGGUCCCCCACACUGGUACUGAGACACGGACCAGACUCCUACGGGAGGCAGCAGUGAGGAAUAUUGGUCAAUGGACGCAAGUCUGAACCAGCCAUGUCGCGUGCAGGAAGACUGCCCUAUGGGUUGUAAACUGCUUUUCUACGAGAAGAAAGUUAUCUACGUGUAGAUAAUUGCCGGUAUCGUAAGAACAAGGAUCGGCUAACUCCGUGCCAGCAGCCGCGGUAAUACGGAGGAUCCGAGCGUUAUCCGGAUUUAUUGGGUUUAAAGGGUACGUAGGCGGAAUAGUAAGUCAGCGGUGAAAUCCUGCAGCUCAACUGUAGAGUUGCCGUUGAUACUGUUAUUCUUGAGAGUAGAUGAGGUAGGCGGAAAUGUGGUGUGUAGCGGUGAAAUGCAUAGAUAUACCACAGNAACACCGAUUGCGAAGGCAGCUUACUAAACUACAACUGGACGCUGANGGUACGAAAGCGUGGGUAUCAAACAGGAUUAGAUACCCUGGUAGUCCACGCCGUAAACUAUGAUUNACUGGUUGUUUGCAAUACAUG
Molecule: ribosomal RNA, 810 nt
Filed under: uncultured bacterium
Lineage: Bacteria
Description: bacterial SSU rRNA
Rfam family: Bacterial small subunit ribosomal RNA
Source: RNAcentral